RNAcentral lists this ribosomal RNA (253 nucleotides) under uncultured bacterium. Its description in RNAcentral is "partial 16S ribosomal RNA". It matches the Rfam family "Bacterial small subunit ribosomal RNA", at positions 524 to 776 of the family's 1533-position model. The record is from RNAcentral.
UACGGAGGGAGCUAGCGUUGUUCGGAAAUACUGGGCGUAAAGCGCACGUAGGCGGCGCAGCAAGUCAGGGGUGAAAUCCCGGGGCUCAACCCCGGAACUGCCCUUGAAACUGCAGUGCUAGAAUUCUGGAGAGGCGAGUGGAAUUCCGAGUGUAGAGGUGAAAUUCGUAGAUAUUCGGAAGAACACCAGUGGCGAAGGCGGCGCCCUGGUCCGUUACUGACGCUGAGGCGCGACAGCGUGGGGAGCAAACAGG